UAUAUUUGACCUGCUUUCUCAUUAUUGUUUAUCUAUUUAUACAUGUCUAAUCUUCUGUCUGCAAUCCUGGCUCAGCUUUUUAAUAUUUGUACAAGUCAUCUUGAUGUAGGAAAACAUCAAGAUGACUGUAUACCUUAAAGUCAAAUAUUUUAGUGUGAUUCACUUGAAUAAUUAGAACCUUCACCUAUGUUAUUCCUCAAUUGAAUUGUAGUUUUUUUCAGAAUGUCAAAAGACUAAAGGAGGAGACUAGCUUCCUUGAAGAUAAGUGGGCAGAGCUGGACAUAAACGAAGCUGUGCUUCAGGAGUGGGUUGCUGAGGUCCAGCAGUGGCCUGAAAGUAUGUUCGGUUCUGAACAAAUAGAGCAUAUAUGGCCCACACCGAAAACCAUCUGACUACAGUCCUAUCCCAUACUAUGUUUCCAACACGUUCUAAUUUUUCAAGUGAAUCAUACUAAAAUAUUUGACUUUAAGCAGUGUCUUCUCUCUUCAACUGCUAACUUUAUCUCGAGUUGAGUUCCACUUCCCUCAUUGCCCUAGUUCCUCAGCGACAGGCGUGCCUUAUCAGGAAGUGAAACUAGACUGCUCCCCUUUGUCUCCUUCCUUAGAAAUAUCAAAAUUCAGCAGAAUAUUAAUAUUUGAACAGAAAAUGAAAUUUCUUCACAUCCCCUUGCCUCACUCAGUAACUUUCCAUGCACAAAGUUCAUAUUAACUCUCAACUCUCAAAUAACUAUAUUUCAAGCCAGAAUCCAACAUGUAGAAAAGUGAAUGUUUAUCUGUCUCUCAACUUCAUAAUUGUAUUGAUGUCAGUGGAGUCAUGUUUGUAACCUGUCCUAUGUUUGACAGCCAACCUUCAGGAUAGUCAGACAGGGCAUCUCCAGAAGAAGAUUGAGGGGCUUUACCUCAGUGUGAACCAGAGGAAACACUACCUCUACUGUUUGACAGGUAACAAUAUGACCUCAAAGACAUUAGAAAUCAAGCAGUAAAACUGAUUUGUGAAAGAAGAUGCAUUAGUCAUUCACAAAUCAGUGCCUCUAAAGUAGCUCUGUAACCUAUUGUCAUGUAAUAUAUCUAAAUCUACAGUCAGUCUAAUCAGCCCUUUUUAUUCAGACGGCAACAAGAGAAGGCAUCAGAUUCUGAGAAAAAUUGUUGAGGACAAGGCAGCCUUGACAGCUGCCAUUGUUCAACUUCCCACACAGUAGGCAGAGUUUAGGCUCCCCACAGUGGAUGAGCUGCUCAAUACUGACAACUUUUUGUGGCCAUGGGAGAGACCUAGCACCAGUAAGUAUAUGAUUACAGAAGGUACAGUAUCUAUUGUGACUGAAAUUUUACCUUCAGUGUAGGCUGCAAUCAUUGCUGUUGUUCUACUAUAUACCUCUGUGAGUUUACAUCUCACAGGCAACAGCCAUCUUGCCAUCAAAAAGGCAAUCUUCAACAGACUGAUGUUGGUGAACAGACUGCAGGAGGAAGAGAGGGUCCUGGUGCAGGAGAUGAAGAGGCACUGGGGAGCCUACAAAGUACAGGGGGAACUCUGGAGGCACUGUCCGUACAGUUGCAAGAUCAGAGCAAUGCAGUGGAGUUGUCAGAGGGAGGGAGGAAUGGCCUUCUCUUCCUCCUGAAGAGAAGAUUGAGUGAACUGACACAAGAACAAGACAACACCAGGAACAACUACCAAAAGCUGAUUCUGGGAGAAGGGGCUAUUUUAAUGACUCUGAUGCAAAUGAAAACUCAGAUGAAGAUAGAAGUCCUAUUACUGAGAGCUCAGAUGGCGACUGCUAUGCUUUCUGAAAUCAUACACCACCCCGGCCUCUUUCUCUCGGACUCUCUCUCUCCCGCAGGAGAGGGGGAAGGCUGCCACCACCUCCCUCAUGAGCAGCCAGGGUUCCGACAUUGACCCCUGACCCCUUAUCUUCUGAACGCAUCCAGGGAAAUGUAUUUUGCCUGAUGAUGGUCUAGUGGAGAUUUGUUGCCAUGUUUCCUCUCCUCACCUCCUCCCCUUCCGGUCCUAGACUAUGGCGACAUCAUCAGCAACUCAGAAUGUUGGUUGAGGAUCUCUUUACUGAGGAAUGUGGUUGUUCUUCAUGAUUAAAAAUAUCUAUAUAUUUUCUAUGCUACUGGGAUUGUGAUUUUUUUGUGUAAUUUUGAGUUGCAAAAGAGUCCUAGGUCUCAAUGGGUCUGCUAAAAUAAAU
Long non-coding RNA from Oncorhynchus tshawytscha (Chinook salmon), 2185 nucleotides. The record is from Ensembl. Lineage: Eukaryota; Metazoa; Chordata; Actinopteri; Salmoniformes; Salmonidae.